GAUGAAGAACGCAGCGAAAUGCGAUAAGUAAUGUGAAUUGCAGAAUUCAGUGAAUCAUCGAAUCUUUGAACGCACAUUGCGCCCGCCAGUAUUCUGGCGGGCAUGCCUGUUCGAGCGUCAUUUCAACCAUCAAGCCCCCGGCUUGUGUUGGGGACCUGCGGCUGCCCGCAGGCCCUGAAAACCAGUGGCGGGCUCGCUGUCACUCCGAGCGUAGUAGCAUAUAUCUCGCUCAGGGCGUGCUGCGGGUUCCGGCCGUUAAAAGCCUUUUUUUACCCAAGGUUGAUCUCGGAUCAGGUAGGAAGACCCGCUGAACUUAAGCAUAUCAAUAAGCGGAGGA
This 337-nucleotide unclassified non-coding RNA is filed under the name soil metagenome. RNAcentral's name for it is "partial contains 5.8S ribosomal RNA, internal transcribed spacer 2, and large subunit ribosomal RNA". The stretch from base 1 to 120 matches the Rfam family "5.8S ribosomal RNA", at positions 35 to 154 of the family's 154-position model. The record is from RNAcentral.